UACGGGGGAUGCAAGCGUUAUCCGGAAUCAUUGGGCGUAAAGCGCCUGUAGGUUGUUUAAUAAGUCUGUUGUUAAAGACCAGGGCUUAACCCUGGGAAAGCAAUGGAAACUACUAGACUUGAGUAUGAUAGGGGUAGAGGGAAUUUCUAGUGUAGCGGUGAAAUGCGUAGAUAUUAGAAAGAACACCGGUGGCGAAGGCGCUCUACUGGAUCAUUACUGACACUCAGAGGCGAAAGCUAGGGUAGCAAAAGGGAUUAGAUACCCCUGUAGUCCUAGCCGUAAACGAUGGAUACUAGAUGUUGCGUUUUAUAUGCAGUAUCGUAGCUAACGCAUUAAGUAUCCCGCCUGGGGAGUACGCUCGCAAGGGUG
RNAcentral lists this ribosomal RNA (369 nucleotides) under uncultured phototrophic eukaryote. Its description in RNAcentral is "SSU rRNA". It matches the Rfam family "Bacterial small subunit ribosomal RNA", at positions 524 to 896 of the family's 1533-position model. The record is from RNAcentral.